Cucumis sativus (cucumber) is the source of this 400-nucleotide long non-coding RNA. RefSeq lists it as uncharacterized. The transcript has 2 exons. The record is from RefSeq and is a predicted model, not a curated record. NCBI's taxonomy places the organism in Eukaryota, Viridiplantae, Streptophyta, Magnoliopsida, Cucurbitales, Cucurbitaceae.
UCACUGGUCACUAAUUAAUAUAACCUUCAUUCCCAAGUCCCAACAUGCCAAACUCAUGCAAAGGAAAGAGCUCAUGGCCAGAGCUUGUUAAUGCUCCAGGAGAAAUUGCAGUCAAAAUUAUAGAGAAGGAAAACAGUUCGGUUAAAGCCAUUAUUGUUGAAGAAGGAUCUUCUGUUGUCACCAACUUCGAGUGUGGUCGAGUUUUUGUUUUCAUCCACAAGAAGUCCAAUAUGGUUACUAAGACCCCGCACAUUGGCUAAUUGUAUUGGCUAAUUGUAUCGCUAUUGUAUGCUUUAUAAAUUUAUCCUCUAGUAUUUCUAUUUUCUUUAGUUAUUCAGUUAAUUAAAUCGAUGAUUCAUGAAUCAAUGAAUAGCUUCACACUAAUUUGCUUUUCAUUUUA